This 402-nucleotide ribosomal RNA is filed under the name uncultured bacterium. Its description in RNAcentral is "bacterial SSU rRNA". It matches the Rfam family "Bacterial small subunit ribosomal RNA", at positions 29 to 461 of the family's 1533-position model. The record is from RNAcentral.
AACGAACGCUGGCGGCAUGCCUAACACAUGCAAGUCGAACGAGACCUUCGGUCUAGUGGCGCACGGGUGCGUAACGCGUGGGAAUCUGCCCUUGGGUUCGGAAUAACAGUUAGAAAUGACUGCUAAUACCGGAUGAUGUCUUCGGACCAAAGAUUUAUCGCCCAGGGAUGAGCCCGCGUAGGAUUAGCUAGUUGGUGGGGUAAAGGCCUACCAAGGCGACGAUCCUUAGCUGGUCUGAGAGGAUGAUCAACCACACUGGGACUGAGACACGGCCCAGACUCCUACGGGAGGCAGCAGUGGGGAAUAUUGGACAAUGGGCGAAAGCCUGAUCCAGCAAUGCCGCGUGAGUGAUGGAGGCCUUAGGUUGUAAGCUCUUUACCGGGUACUGAUAAUGACAGUACC